RNAcentral lists this ribosomal RNA (253 nucleotides) under uncultured bacterium. RNAcentral describes it as "partial 16S ribosomal RNA". It matches the Rfam family "Bacterial small subunit ribosomal RNA", at positions 524 to 776 of the family's 1533-position model. The record is from RNAcentral.
UACGGGGGGGGCAAGCGUUAUUCGGAAUUAUUGGGCGUAAAGGGCGCGUAGGCGGCUUUUCAAGUGACGGGUGAAAUCCCUCGGCUUAACCGAGGAACUGCCUGUCAGACUGGAAGGCUUGAGACCGGGAGAGGUGAGUGGAAUUCCCAGUGUAGCGGUGAAAUGCGUAGAUAUUGGGAGGAACACCAGUGGCGAAGGCGGCUCACUGGACCGGAACUGACGCUGAGGCGCGAAAGCGUGGGGAGCAAACAGG